This 492-nucleotide ribosomal RNA is filed under the name uncultured bacterium. RNAcentral describes it as "partial 16S ribosomal RNA". It matches the Rfam family "Bacterial small subunit ribosomal RNA", at positions 29 to 507 of the family's 1533-position model. The record is from RNAcentral.
AGUGAACGCUGGCGGUAGGCCUAACACAUGCAAGUCGAACGGCAGCACAGUAAGAGCUUGCUCUUACGGGUGGCGAGUGGCGGACGGGUGAGGAAUAUAUCGGAAUCUACUUUUUCGUGGGGGAUAACGUAGGGAAACUUACGCUAAUACCGCAUACGACCUACGGGUGAAAGGAGGGGAUCUUCGGACCUUGCGCGAUUGAAUGAGCCGAUGUCGGAUUAGCUAGUUGGCGGGGUAAAGGCCCACCAAGGCGACGAUCCGUAGCUGGUCUGAGAGGAUGAUCGGCCACAUUGGAACUGGGCCACGGUCCAGGCUCCUACGGGAGGCAGCAGUGGGGAAUAUUGGGCAAUGGGCGGGAGCCUGAUCCAGCCAUACCGCGUGGGUGAAGAAGGCCUUCGGGUUGUAAAGCCCUUUUGUUGGGAAAGAAAAGCAGCAGGUUAAUACCCCGCUGUUCUGACGGUACCCAAAGAAUAAGCACCGGCUAACUUCGUG